Molecule: ribosomal RNA, 261 nt
Filed under: uncultured bacterium
Lineage: Bacteria
Description: partial 16S ribosomal RNA
Rfam family: Bacterial small subunit ribosomal RNA
Source: RNAcentral
GUCCACGCCCUAACGAUGAGGACUAGAUGUCGGAAGGGUCUGCCUUUCGGUGUCGCAGCUAACGCGUUAAGUCCUCCGCCUGGGGAGUACGGCCGCAAGGUUGAAACUCAAGGAAUUGACGGGGACCCGCACAAGCGGUGGAGCAUGUGGUUUAAUUCGAUGCAACGCGAAGAACCUUACCUGGUCUUGACAUCCUCGGAAUCCUGCAGAAAUGCGGGAGUGCCUUCGGGAACCGAGAGACAGGUGCUGCAUGGCUGUCGU